GCGAAAGCUGACGCAUUACGCCGCGUGGGUGAUGAAGGUCUUCGGAUUGUAAAACCCUGUCGUUAGGGACGAAGACUAAAUCCUAAUACGAUUUAUGUUUGACGGUUACCUAGAAAGGAAGCCCCGGCUAACUCUGUGCCAGCAGCCGCGGUAAUACAGAGGGGGCAAGCGUUAUUCGGAAUUAUUGGGCGUAAAGGGUGCGUAAGCGGUUUUUUAAGUCAGAUGUGUAAUCCCCGAGCUCAACUUGGGAACUGCAUCUGAAACUGGAAAACUAGAGUGCUGGAGAUGAUGGUGGAAUUCCACGUGUAGCGGUGAAAUGCGUAGAGAUGUGGAGGAACACCAGUGGCGAAGGCGGCCAUCUGGACAGUAACUGACGCUGAAGCACGAAAGUGUGGGUAGCACACAGGAUUAGAUACCCUGGUAGUACACAACGUAAAACGAUGAACACUUGGUGUAGUGGGCGUUGAACCCCACUGUGCCGUAAGCUAACGCGAUAAGUGUUCCGCCUGGGGAGUACGGUCGCAAUGCUGAAACUCCAAGGCAU
RNAcentral lists this ribosomal RNA (544 nucleotides) under uncultured bacterium. RNAcentral's name for it is "bacterial SSU rRNA". It matches the Rfam family "Bacterial small subunit ribosomal RNA", at positions 375 to 910 of the family's 1533-position model. The record is from RNAcentral.